GAGCCCCUAGCUCAGUCGGUUAGAGCAUCUGACUUUUAAUCAGAGGGUCCUGGGUUCGAGUCCCAGGGGGCUCACCA
RNAcentral lists this transfer RNA (77 nucleotides) under Brevundimonas balnearis. RNAcentral describes it as "tRNA-Lys". It matches the Rfam family "tRNA". Rfam says of the family: Transfer RNA (tRNA) molecules are approximately 80 nucleotides in length. Their secondary structure includes four short double-helical elements and three loops (D, anti-codon, and T loops). The record is from RNAcentral. RNAcentral also lists the same sequence under 2 other names. Lineage: Bacteria; Pseudomonadati; Pseudomonadota; Alphaproteobacteria; Caulobacterales; Caulobacteraceae.